Molecule: non-coding RNA, 1633 nt
Organism: Monodelphis domestica (gray short-tailed opossum)
Lineage: Eukaryota; Metazoa; Chordata; Mammalia; Didelphimorphia; Didelphidae
Source: RefSeq, a predicted model, not a curated record
CUUCCUUUUUCAAUAUGCUAAUUUUGCUGUAUGGCAUACCUUUUUUUUUUUUAACUCUUACCUCUUCUGUCUUGAAAUCAGUCCUGUGUAUUGGUUCCAAGGCAGAAGAGUGGUAAGGGCUAGGCAAUGGGGGUUAAGUGACUUGCCCAGGGUCACACCGCUGGGAAGUGUCUGAGGCCAAAUUUGAACAUAAGUCCUUCGGUCUCUAGGCCUGGCUCUCAAUCCACUGAGCUACUACCCAUCUAUCCCCUGGCAUACUUUUUAAAAUUUAGUUUCACCAAACUUUUCCCCCUCUGCUUUUUUCAUUCUUUAUAAAGGACAGUUGUCUGGCAAGGAUUGGGAAAGAGAAUUGAUGGGAAAUAGAGAUCAUGUGAAAAAACAAGGAUAAUAAAAUUUAUUUUAAAAAGAAGAAACUUACUUCACUAUAAGUAUUAGCUAUUAUUUUUAGAUCCUGAAUGUAUCAUUUAAUGUUAGAUAUACCUUUUUAUGGCAAUCUAUAAAUUUAAUAAGAAUUCCAUCUAUGCCAUUAUCAAAGUCAUUGAUAAAAAUGUGCAGGAGAUCUCCUUCUAAGGGGAGUCUUUAAUGUCCAUGCUCUUUAAUUCAGCACCUAUCUAUUAUUACCUGACCAACUGACUAUUUCACCAAAACCAUGUAAUAUUGCUAAAUGUUUAAUGAAAUAAAUAACAUUCCCAUCUUAUAUAUCACAAAAGCAUUUGUACAAUAACUUUAGUAUAUAUUAUCAUAAGCAAUGCCAGAUUUCAGCCUGAGAGUUCAAAAGAAUAUAAAAAAAAUUAUGAAAUAUUUAAAUUAACAAAAUCUAAUCCUAUGGAACACUAUUGAAUAAGUAUGGUAUAAUGCAUCAAGAAAAUCCUUACUAGGAAGAAUUUUUAUAUGCAACUUAUCACUAUGAAAUGGUCCGGGGAAAGGAUUUUAAAUCUUUCAAGGUAAAAUUUCUUCUGUGCUUGUUAAUCUUAAUGACAAUAUAAGUCUUUUAAAGCAUUUUACUCCUGUUUGCAGAGUCACUGGAACCAAACUGUGCCUGGAGUCACUUCACCACUUUCUUGAAGAAAUAGAACCUGCUUCAGAUUAAGAUCACGAGAUAGAUGAUGAUGAUGAUGAUGAUGAUGAUGAUGAUGAUGAUGGUCGUGUAAAAAGGAGAAGCAAAACAACUGAAACUGAAUAUUGUGAAAUGUUUACUCCAAUUCAUAGUUUCGGAAUUCUGGGAAGAUGGCCACUUAGAUGCAGCAAAAGUCCAGACCUCUCUGAAAACCCUUCCACACCAAUCAAAAACAAAGUGCUUCGAGGGGAUAGAAAGCCCAAAUUUAACAACAGAACAUAGCUGGGGGACCCUCCUGCUGGAUUCAACUUAAAAGGUAUGCAAAAAAAAAAAAAGCCUGAAUUCUUAUACUCUUGGGUUCAAGAGAAAGGAAGAAGGAAGGUCCCAAGACCCCUCCCCACCUACUGUGCUGAGUCUCCAGUGGUCCCUGGAAUCUCUGGGUGGGCAAGGGUGCUAGUCUGGAGGGGGUGCCUUGCUAGUACAGCUGUGCCAGACUCAGGGCAUUGAACACAGAAGGAAGAGAGGCAGCUGGAGGAGAAGUGCAAAAAGGGUAGCCUACCUAGUCCCAAGCAAAAA